UACGUAGGGUGCGAGCGUUGUCCGGAAUUAUUGGGCGUAAAGAGCUUGUAGGCGGUUUGUCGCGUCUGCUGUGAAAUUUCGGGGCUCAACCCCGAACUUGCAGUGGGUACGGGCAGACUAGAGUGUGGUAGGGGAGACUGGAAUUCCUGGUGUAGCGGUGAAAUGCGCAGAUAUCAGGAGGAACACCGGUGGCGAAGGCGCCACUCUGGGCCGAAACUGACGCUGAGGAGCGAAAGCGUGGGUAGCAAACAGG
Molecule: ribosomal RNA, 253 nt
Filed under: uncultured bacterium
Lineage: Bacteria
Description: partial 16S ribosomal RNA
Rfam family: Bacterial small subunit ribosomal RNA
Source: RNAcentral